ACUCAAAUGAAUUGACGGGGACUUGCACAAGCAGAGGAUUAUGUGGUUUAAUUCGAUGAUAAACGAAGAACCUUACCAAGAUUUGAAACCUAGUUGAAUAGUGCAGAAACGUACUAGUCCCACAAGGACAAUUAGGCAGGUGAUGCAUGGCUGUCGUCAGUUCGUAGUUUGAACCGUUCCCUUAAGUGGGGUAACGAACGCAACCCUCGUUGUCUGUUACAUGUAUCAGGCGAGACUGCCCCAGAUUUUGCUCAUGAAUGAAAGUUCGUGAAUAAAAUCUGGGGAGGAAGGCGAGGAUGACGCCAAGUCAGCAUGUCCCUCUGAUAUCUUGGGCUACACACAUAAUACAAUGGCGGCUACAACGGGCUGCGACGGGGAAACCCUGAGCUAAUCCUUAUAAAAGCCGCCCCAGUUCAGAUUGGGGGCUGCAACUCGACCCCAUGAAGUUGGAUUUGCUAGUAAUCGCGGGUCAGACAUACCGCGGUGAAUACGUUCUCAAGUCUUGUACACACCGCCCGU
This 519-nucleotide ribosomal RNA is filed under the name uncultured bacterium. Its description in RNAcentral is "partial 16S ribosomal RNA". It matches the Rfam family "Bacterial small subunit ribosomal RNA", at positions 899 to 1397 of the family's 1533-position model. The record is from RNAcentral.